GUCGUCGCGAGACGGGGUCUGAAGGAAGCGUAUGGCAAAGCUACGACCUGACGAACAGAAACCAGAUGCGAGGCCUACCCGGUUGGACAAGCGAGCCAAUGAUCGCGAAGCCCAUAACCAUCAAGGACCGGGAUGGUAGAUCUG
Non-coding RNA from Candidatus Burkholderia brachyanthoides, 144 nucleotides. The record is from Rfam. NCBI's taxonomy places the organism in Bacteria, Pseudomonadati, Pseudomonadota, Betaproteobacteria, Burkholderiales, Burkholderiaceae.